UGUAUUUCAACCAUAUGUUUUCUGAAUUUAGCGGAGGUAUUGUAGCUGCAUAUGGUAGCGUAAAGAGCCAUAACCCCGGCCGAGGCUAGCUGCUAGCCGAGCUUUGUAUGCAUUGUUUCAAGGCGCCGAACGGUGAGCAAGGAUCGCCAAACGACACCUAUGGAUUCGCUACGUUAUGUAAACAUCGACCCGAUUUACGGCGACAUUCCGGUAGCACUAGAGGGCGCUCCUGCUCCAGCAACUCUGUAUACCUGGAGAACGGAAGACGUAAACGGAAAACGUAUGUGACAUUGAAAAGUUUCUUUGGGGAUAUAAUUAAAUAAGAUUGACCUAUAGACAGACCCGGGAUGUCCUGCGCCAUUGGCCAAUUAUUUCUCUCUGCAUAGUGUCACCUAGCUCUUUUCCAAAGAACAGGAAACCAUCCAGACAACCCAUUGGGUUCUCAACAAGCUUUAAUUGAUUGACCAUCAGAGCUGUCAGUAUCAUCAUCAUCAUCAUCGUCAUCAACAUCAUCAUCAUCAUCAUCAUCAUAGUGGUGGUAGUGGAACACCACAAGCAUUGGUUGAAUGAUGGCCGGCUUCUAAGGGUCUGUGUGCUGGACUGCAGGGGCCUCGGAAACAUGCAGCAGACAGACAGACAGGUGGACAGACAGACAAACAGACAGACGGGUAGACGAACAUACAGACGGGUUUGAUACAGACAGGGGCUGAGAGUGAGACUUGAGAGGUAGACAGAGAUAUUGACAGGUAGAUAGAAAGAGAGACAGACUCAGGUAGACAGAGAGAUAGAUAGGAAGACAGAGAGGCAGGUGUAAAGAAAGAGUCAGGACAGACAAGCAGAAGAACGGGCAGACGGGUCGAUAGAAAGACACACAGUCGGAGUUGACAGGUAGCUGUUGUGUUAUUUACAUAAAGGUAGUAGGCA
This is a long non-coding RNA of Gadus macrocephalus (Pacific cod), 924 nucleotides long. RefSeq lists it as uncharacterized. The record is from RefSeq and is a predicted model, not a curated record. The transcript has 2 exons. NCBI's taxonomy places the organism in Eukaryota, Metazoa, Chordata, Actinopteri, Gadiformes, Gadidae.